CGCUGCCCGCGAUGUCAUCUCUGCAUAUUUAUAGCGUCUCCGUGGAGAGGCUGUGCAUUAUAGAGAUGACAUUAUUUUUCUCCCGGAUGAUGGCUGUGCUGUGCUCUGUUCUGUGGUGCCAUCUCCGCCCUCACUUCUAGCCAGGCUGGCCACAUGGUCGCGGCUUCUGGGAGCCUGAGGUCUGGCUGGGGGCAGAGCUAGAGAAGCAGUGAGUCCCUUCACGGUGACGUCAGACCCUCACGACCAACGAGAAGCCUUUCGUAAAAUGAUGCUUCGUGGCGUUAAACUCCCCCUUGACCAAAGCCUUGUAUGCUGGCCUUCCCUCUCUGCCGCUUUGGAACAGACUCUCAGAGCCCUGCCUCCCGGGCUGCGGUCCUCAUUCUGCUCCAAAUACAACUUGGCUUGCAACG
Long non-coding RNA from Ovis aries (sheep), 410 nucleotides. Lineage: Eukaryota; Metazoa; Chordata; Mammalia; Artiodactyla; Bovidae. The record is from Ensembl.